Molecule: ribosomal RNA, 464 nt
Filed under: uncultured bacterium
Lineage: Bacteria
Description: bacterial SSU rRNA
Rfam family: Bacterial small subunit ribosomal RNA
Source: RNAcentral
GUACGGGAGGCAGCAGUGGGGAAUUUUGGACAAUGGGCGAAAGCCUGAUCCAGCCAUGCCGCGUGAGUGAAGAAGGCCUUCGGGUUGUAAAGCUCUUUCGGCCGGGACGAAAUCGCAUUCUCUAAUACAGGAUGUGGAUGACGGUACCGGAAUAAGAAGCACCGGCUAACUACGUGCCAGCAGCCGCGGUAAUACGUAGGGUGCGAGCGUUAUUCGGAAUUACUGGGCGUAAAGCGUGCGCAGGCGGUUGUGUAAGACAGACGUGAAAUCCCCGGGCUCAACCUGGGAACUGCGUUUGUGACUGCACGGCUAGAGUACGGCAGAGGGGGGUGGAAUUCCACGUGUAGCAGUGAAAUGCGUAGAGAUGUGGAGGAACACCGAUGGCGAAGGCAGCCCCCUGGGCCAGUACUGACGCUCAUGCACGAAAGCGUGGGGAGCAAACAGGAUUAGAUACCCGGGUAGUC